GAUGAACGCUGGCGGCGUGCCCAAUACAUGCAAGUCGAGCGAACGGACGAGAAGCUUGCUUUUCUGAUGUUAGCGGCGGACGGGUGAGUAACACGUGGAUAACCUACCUAUAAGACUGGGAUAACUUCGGGAAACCGGAGCUAAUACCGGAUAAUAUUUUGAACCGCAUGGUUCAAAAGUGAAAGACGGUCUUGCUGUCACUUAUAGAUGGAUCCGCGCCGCAUUAGCUAGUUGGUAAGGUAACGGCUUACCAAGGCAACGAUGCAUAGCCGACCUGAGAGGGUGAUCGGCCACACUGGAACUGAGACACGGUCCAGACUCCUACGGGAGGCAGCAGUAGGGAAUCUUCCGCAAUGGGCGAAAGCCUGACGGAGCAACGCCGCGUGAGUGAUGAAGGUCUUCGGAUCGUAAAACUCUGUUAUUAGGGAAGAACAUAUGUGUAAGUAACUGUGCACAUCUUGACGGUACCUAAUCAGAAAGCCACGGCUAACUACGUG
RNAcentral lists this ribosomal RNA (497 nucleotides) under uncultured bacterium. RNAcentral describes it as "partial 16S ribosomal RNA". It matches the Rfam family "Bacterial small subunit ribosomal RNA", at positions 28 to 507 of the family's 1533-position model. The record is from RNAcentral.